AUCUCACUACAAUAUAUUCCUAAUUGAUCAAGGAUGAAAACCAAAUUUUUUUUCUUUGUCUUCUUUGUCUGUGCACUCAUUAUUAUCUCUGUUGUAUCAAUUGAAUCAUCUAAAGAUGAGAAACAAAUUGAUACAACAACAGAAUUAAAAUCGAAAAUUGGGAUACAUGUAUAUGUAUAUGAUCCAUGGAAAAAUUGGAAAAGAAAUAAAAAAGGUGGAAAGAAAGGCAAAACUGGUGGACAAGGCUCAAGUGUACCGAACUUAGAAGCUAAUGAAAACGAAGGAGGUGUACAAAGUGGAGGUGAACAAAAUGAAGGUGAAGAAGGAUAAAGAUGGAAAAUGAUGAAAAAAUGAAGGUGAAGAAGAAUAAAGAUGGAAAAUGAUGAAAUAAAAGGUAAGAUAGGUUAUGGAGAUUUAAGUUUUAUGGAGAUAGAAAAGGUGGUGUGGUGUAGGUAGAAAAAUGGGGUAUAUGAGGAACUUUCAUGAAAACAAGAAAUAAGAAAUUUAAAUUUUUUCUCUAUAUUUAUUUGGUAUUUUUUAUGUAUAAGACAAACUAUUUACCGGACCUAAAAUUUAUGUUAAAUUGUAGUUAAAUAGAAAUUAAUAAUAAAUUUUUUCCACUGUUAAA
Vicia villosa (hairy vetch) is the source of this 628-nucleotide long non-coding RNA. RefSeq lists it as uncharacterized. The transcript is spliced from 2 exons. The record is from RefSeq and is a predicted model, not a curated record. Lineage: Eukaryota; Viridiplantae; Streptophyta; Magnoliopsida; Fabales; Fabaceae.